CCCUUCCGAGGAGGCGGUGCUGGGGCGGGCGCAGGACUGCAGGCUGGGGCUCCGCUCCCCGGCGGGAGCCCGCGCGUGGUUCCCAGCGAAGUCCCCGCGCGGCUGGGCCCAGCCCGUGUGAAGAUGUGCCUGCUUCGCCUUCCAUCAUGACUGAAGUUUCCUGAGGCCUCCCCAGCUAUGCUCCCUAUACAGCCUGCAGAACGGUCGGCUGCCUCCAAUCCUGAGGUCAUCACUCAUCAAGAGGGGAUAAUCCCAGGGACAGCAGGAUCUGCUUCGUUACUUGGAUUUAGGAGCCAGAAACCCAUCAGGCAACUAAACAGUAACAAUGACCCGCCAUUAAACACACUGAGAGAAGAGCAUGAUGAAGAGUUUGUACAAGAAGAAGCCAGGAGCACUUGCUGACAAUGCUUACAGAGACGCAGGCUUCUAUGAGCUCUGCCUGUUGAACUGCAGUAAAAAUAGAUCUCCUUCCCCAGAGAGGCUUGGAUGUGGGCACAAUAUCAGUUCAGACGAUGGUCAAUGCAUGUACUUAAUAGAGUGAAAAGACUUUGGACUGUGAAGUCAGAUUACCUGGGUCUGAAUUGUUAUUCUUCUACUUCUUUGUAGUAUGCUUUCACCACAUUAAAAAUUGUCUGAGCCUCAAUUUUUUUAUCUGCAAAAUGGAGCUAAUACCUACACAGGGGCUUUUAAGAGAAUCAAAUGCAACAAUGUUUGAAAAGCAACAUACUCCCCUUUAUGGAAAAAGAGCCUGUAAAGGAACCAAUACAAUGGCUGGGCGUGGUGACUCACACCUGUAAUCCUAGCACUUUGGGAGGCCGAGGUGGGUGGAUUGCCUGAGCUCAGGAGUUCGAGACCAGCCUGGGCAACAUGGUGAAACCCCGACUCUACUAAAAUACAAAAGAUUAUCCUGGCGUGGUGGUGUGCACCUGUUAUCUAAGCUACUUGGGAGGUUGAAGCAGGAGAAUUGCUGGAACCUGGGAGGCAGAGGUUGCAGUGAGCCAAGAUCACACCACUACACUCCAGCCUGAGUGACACAAGACUGUGUCUCAAAAAUAAAUAAAUGAAUAAGUAAAUAAAUACAAAAUAAAUAAAAUAAAGGAACCAAUACAACAAA
This 1114-nucleotide long non-coding RNA is filed under the name Homo sapiens (human). Its description in RNAcentral is "HSALNT0293773". The record is from RNAcentral. Lineage: Eukaryota; Metazoa; Chordata; Mammalia; Primates; Hominidae.